UCCGGGAUAACCCCGGGAACCUGGGGAUAAUACCGGAUAGAUCAUCUGUGCUGGAAGGCUGGGUGGUUGAAACUUCCGGGGCUUUUGGAUGGGUCUGCGGCUGAUUAGGUUGUUGCCGGUGUAACGUACCGUCAAGCCUGUAAUCAGUACGGGUUGUGGGAGCAAGAGCCCGGAGAUGGAUUCUGAGACACGAAUCCAGGCCCUACGGGGCGCAGCAGGCGCGAAAACUCUACAAUGCAGGCAACUGCGAUAGGGGAACAUCGAGUGAUCCUCAUAUUGGGGGUCUGUCCACCCGUCUAAAAAACGGGUGUUAGCAAGGGCCGGGCAAGACCGGUGCCAGCCGCCGCGGUAAUACCGGCGGCUCGAGUGGUGGCCGAUAUUAUUGAGUCUAAAGGGUCCGUAGCCGGCUUUGCAAGUCUCUCGGGAAAUCCAGCGGCUUAACCGUUGGUCGUCCGGGGGGUACUACAUUGCUUGGGACUGGGAGAGGUAGGAGGUACUCAGGGGGUAGGAGUGAAAUCCUGUAAUCCUUUGGGGACCACCGGUGGCGAAGGCGUCCUACCAGAACAGGUCCGACGGUGAGGGACGAAAGCUAGGGGCACGAACCGGAUUAGAUACCCGGGUAGUCCUAGCCGUAAACGAUGCUCGCUAGGUGUCACAACAGUCGUGAACUGUUGUGGUGCCGUAGGGAAGCCGUGAAGCGAGCCACCUGGAAGUACGCUCGCAAGGCUGAAACUUAAC
Molecule: ribosomal RNA, 738 nt
Filed under: uncultured archaeon S15-16
Lineage: Archaea
Description: bacterial SSU rRNA
Rfam family: Archaeal small subunit ribosomal RNA
Source: RNAcentral